CUCUUUCUUGUCCUCUCCAUGCCCGAGAUGCUCACGUUUUGUGGGGUGGGAGAGUGGCCAGAGAUGGGGUGAUGAUUAUGAUGAAGAAGGUGAAGAAGCAGAUGAGGAAGGGGAAGAAGGAGGAGAUGAGGAAAAUGAUCCAGACUAUGACCCAAAGAAGGAUCAAAACCCAACAGAGUGCAAGCAGCAGUGAAGCAGGAUGGUCUACCUUCCGCUUCCCUGGAAAGGAUGAAUUUACAUCAUUUGACAAGCCUAUUUUCAAGUUAUUUGUUGUUUGUUUGCUUGUUUUUGUUUUUGCAGCCUAAAAUAAAAAUUUCAAAUACAAAAAAAAAAAAAAAAGAGAGAUGGGGGUCUCGCUAUGUUGAUCAGGCUGGUCUCGAACUCCUAGACUCAAACGAUCCUCCCACCUCAGCCUCCCAAAGUGCUAGGAUUACAGAUGUGAGCCACCACGCCUAGCCUCCACCUGAGAGUUUU
This 474-nucleotide long non-coding RNA is filed under the name Homo sapiens (human). RNAcentral describes it as "HSALNT0378707". Lineage: Eukaryota; Metazoa; Chordata; Mammalia; Primates; Hominidae. The record is from RNAcentral.